CCAAGAACGACAGUAACAAGAACGACAACCCCCGGCGAUUCCGGUCAGCUUCUCCGGCGGGAUUCCACCGGUAACACGACAAAGAUAAAGGUUUGAGGGUUACAAGACCAGAUCGGUGACGAGUUGCAACGUGACGUAAGAAUCAGAGGUUUCGGUGUGCGAUGGUGGUGGUGGUGGUGACCCGUUGGAAUCAAGAUCUCCGGUGAUGGAACAUGUGCGGAAGCUAAGGUUUCGCUCUGCUUCGUCACGACCACGCAGGGGAAAAGAAGGAAGGGAACACUGCUAGAUACAUCACUAGAUCGCAAGCUGUUAAGUAUCUUCAUGUUUUUAACUCCAUGUGGCGGGUGUUGACCUGUUGUAUCCCGGCGGCUCCGGCCGUCUUUGGCGGGUAGCAGAUUUACCCUGUCGUUGUCGGCGGCUACGGCCGUCUAUGGUGGCGGCGGAAGGUGAUGAUGAUGAGUUGGGCCGCGGUGCAUUUACCCCGUAGUUGCCGGAGGCUACGACCGUCUAUGGUGGCCGCCGAAGGUGAUGAUGAUGAGUUGGGUCUCAUCUGAGCCUCCAUGGCUACACAACCCUAGCGGCGGCGACUAUGGUUCCGCAAUAUUUGGUUUCAAGGCCAACGGACAUACUGAUAAUCGAUGACGAUGAUCCAAAUUUCAUCUGAGAUUAUCAAAAUAGGGUGGUGAUGAUGAUAGGAUAAACCAUAUCUAGAACCUAAUUGCAAAUGUUUUUACUUUUUUUUUUUUUUUGUACCGAAAUCAGUUUUUUGGAGCUGUUGGAGAUUAAAAGUUACAAAAGUUAUUAGAGGGGAAAAAGGGGUGAUGAGUAAAAUCGAGAUGGCCUGUUUGGGUGUUUUGAGAUUGUUAUGGUCAUGAUGAUUAUUUUAUAAGUUUUAUUGUUUUAUGGAGAUAUAUCACAAAAUUUAUCCUUUGCAAUACGACAUUUUGACUUU
This 952-nucleotide long non-coding RNA is filed under the name Helianthus annuus (common sunflower). Its description in RNAcentral is "hypothetical non coding rna". Lineage: Eukaryota; Viridiplantae; Streptophyta; Magnoliopsida; Asterales; Asteraceae. The record is from RNAcentral.